CCUACGGGAGGCAGCAGUGAGGAAUAUUGGUCAAUGGACGCGAGUCUGAACCAGCCAAGUAGCGUGAAGGAUGACUGCCCUAUGGGUUGUAAACUUCUUUUAUAAAGGGAUAAAACGAGGCACGUAUGCCUUUUUGCAUGUACUUUAUGAAUAAGAAUCGGCUAACUCCAUGCCAUCAGCCGCGGUAAUACGGAGGAUCCGAGCGUUAUUCGGAUUUAUUGGGUUUAAAGGGAGCGUAGAUGGGUUGUUAAGUCAGUUGUGAAAGGUUGCGGCUAAACCGUAGAAUUGAAUUUGAUACUGGCAGGCUUGAGUACAGUUGAGGUAGGUGGAAUUCGGGGUGUAGCGGUGAAAUGCUUAGAGAUCACGAGGAACACCGAUUGCGAAGGCAGCUUACUAAACUGUGACUGACAUUGAUGCUCGAAAGUGUGGGUAUCAAACAGGAUUAGAUACCCCUGUAGUC
Molecule: ribosomal RNA, 460 nt
Filed under: uncultured bacterium
Lineage: Bacteria
Description: partial 16S ribosomal RNA
Rfam family: Bacterial small subunit ribosomal RNA
Source: RNAcentral